RNAcentral lists this transfer RNA (74 nucleotides) under Loxodonta africana (African savanna elephant). It matches the Rfam family "tRNA". From Rfam's summary of the family: Transfer RNA (tRNA) molecules are approximately 80 nucleotides in length. Their secondary structure includes four short double-helical elements and three loops (D, anti-codon, and T loops). Further hydrogen bonds mediate the characteristic L-shaped molecular structure. tRNAs have two regions of fundamental functional importance: the anti-codon, which is responsible for specific mRNA codon recognition, and the 3' end, to which the tRNAs corresponding amino acid is attached (by aminoacyl-tRNA synthetases). tRNAs cope with the degeneracy of the genetic code in two manners: having more than one tRNA (with a specific anti-codon) for a particular amino acid; and 'wobble' base-pairing, i.e. permitting non-standard base-pairing at the 3rd anti-codon position. Lineage: Eukaryota; Metazoa; Chordata; Mammalia; Proboscidea; Elephantidae. The record is from Rfam by way of RNAcentral.
CCCUGGGUGAUGCAAACAGUAAGCAUACUGGGCUGCUAACCCAAAAGUUGGUGGCUUGAGUUCACCCAGAGGCA